This 293-nucleotide ribosomal RNA is filed under the name uncultured Shewanella sp. RNAcentral's name for it is "partial 16S ribosomal RNA". It matches the Rfam family "Bacterial small subunit ribosomal RNA", at positions 505 to 797 of the family's 1533-position model. The record is from RNAcentral. Lineage: Bacteria; Pseudomonadati; Pseudomonadota; Gammaproteobacteria; Alteromonadales; Shewanellaceae.
GUGCCAGCAGCCGCGGUAAUACGGAGGGUGCGAGCGUUAAUCGGAAUUACUGGGCGUAAAGCGUGCGCAGGCGGUUUGUUAAGCGAGAUGUGAAAGCCCCGGGCUCAACCUGGGAACUGCAUUUUGAACUGGCAAACUAGAGUCUUGUAGAGGGGGGUAGAAUUCCAGGUGUAGCGGUGAAAUGCGUAGAGAUCUGGAGGAAUACCGGUGGCGAAGGCGGCCCCCUGGACAAAGACUGACGCUCAUGCACGAAAGCGUGGGGAGCAAACAGGAUUAGAUACCCCCGUAGUCCC